RNAcentral lists this ribosomal RNA (449 nucleotides) under uncultured bacterium. Its description in RNAcentral is "partial 16S ribosomal RNA". It matches the Rfam family "Bacterial small subunit ribosomal RNA", at positions 29 to 523 of the family's 1533-position model. The record is from RNAcentral.
AAUGAACGCUGGCGGCAUGCCUAACACAUGCAAGUCGAACGAAGGCCCCGGCCUUAGUGGCCCACGGGUGCGUCAGGCGUGGGAAUCUGCCCUCACGAUCGUAAUAACAGCGAGAAAGUGCUGCUAAUACCGGCCGAUAUCCAGAGAUCAAAGAUUUAUCGCCUGAGGAUGAGGCCGCGUAGGAUAAGCUAGUUGGUGUGGAAAAGGCGCACCAAGGCGACGAUCCUUAGCUGGUCUGAGAGGAUGAUCAGCCACACUGGAACUGAGACACGGCCCAGACUCCUACGGGAGGCAGCAGUGGGGAAAAUUGGACAAUGGGCGAAAGCCUAAUCCAGCAAUGCCGCGUGAGUGAUGAAGGCCUUAGGGUUGUAAAGCUCUUUUACCCGGGAUGAUAAUGACAGUACCGGGAGAAUAAGCUCCGGCUAACUCCGUGCCAGCAGCCGCAGUAA